GAGUUAUUUCCAAACCCAAAAUUCCCACUGUCCAUCGGCCCAAUCUGCCACAACCAACACUCCCCUCUGCGAUCACGAGAAAUUUCAAGCACAAAGGAAAUAUAGCCACAUUUAACUGGUAAAUCUAGCUCAAUUCUCUCUGCCUUCCUUUUUUCGGUUUUUCUUUAGUUGGUACAUGGCUGCGUCAUCCCCAGCUCUAGUUGCUAGCAACUACGACGCCGGUCACAGUACCACCACCACUGUGCCUUCGCAUCGAAUGGACGGGCCACCGAAGAUACUCGUUUGGUCUCAACAAACCCAAGUAUGUUCAGUGGCGCAACGUAAAUUGAUCCAGGGGGUCACUUAGAGUUGCAUUACUCGGACAGCUUUCUAACAAUUCUUUUCAAUUCAACCAGAAAGGAAGCUGCAGCUGUAAAAGAAUGGAGGUUUUGCAAGUAAAAAAGAAUAUAGGGAAGGAAACACUGAAGUGAAAAAUGAAGCUUUUGGUUUGUUACAUGCAGAAUAUUGACUUACUACUUGAGGAGGAUAUACGACAUGCUGGCAGACAGUGAAGCUUAGUCGAGUUUUACAAGAAGUGAGCAUCUUCAGACGAGCACACAACAAAUUGUUGAUGAGCGUUUAAAGAAGCUUCAGAAAUGUGAAUUUAUUAAUGGUGUUCAUAAUCUGCCAGGUGAUACUGAGCUAGAUAAUGGGUCAGAGAAGGAAAAGUUUAUAAAUGAUCUUGUUGAGAAAUUGAACGAGGGCCGAAAUGACCCACAUCUUUCCUGGAGAGGAAAGCCCAGCUGUAAAGUCAUCAUGGUGUUGAGUUAUCCAGUGAAGAAUGAAUUUGCAUAGAGAGAAGAAUUAGAUUUAGCUAAAAAUUGUUCAGAACGGUGGAAAUUGAUCAGGAAGCUCUCAGCUGCAAUGGUGCAAGUUUCUCUUCCCCAGGAAAGGUAGCAAAUUUCUGAUAUAUUCCCGGAUAUUCCAUGAGUUAAGAGUUUUUGCUUGAACGAAACCAAGCCUCAUUAAAUUCAUCCUUAGAUUCUAUCAAUCGAUUCUAGAGAAGUUCAAUUUCUUCAUGCUUAA
This is a long non-coding RNA of Manihot esculenta (cassava), 1065 nucleotides long. RefSeq lists it as uncharacterized. Lineage: Eukaryota; Viridiplantae; Streptophyta; Magnoliopsida; Malpighiales; Euphorbiaceae. The transcript is spliced from 4 exons. The record is from RefSeq and is a predicted model, not a curated record.